This 234-nucleotide unclassified non-coding RNA is filed under the name uncultured Oidiodendron. RNAcentral describes it as "sequence contains ITS2". The stretch from base 1 to 52 matches the Rfam family "5.8S ribosomal RNA", at positions 103 to 154 of the family's 154-position model. Lineage: Eukaryota; Fungi; Ascomycota; Leotiomycetes; Myxotrichaceae. The record is from RNAcentral.
AACGCACAUUGCGCCCUGUGGUAUUCCGCAGGGCAUGCCUGUUCGAGCGUCAUUUCAACCCUCAAGCUCUGCUUGGUGUUGGGCCACGCCCCCGCGGCCGGCCCCAAAGCUAGUGGCGGUGCCGUCUGGCUCUAAGCGUAGUACAUCUCUCGCUCUAGGGCCCGGCGGUUGCUUGCCAGAACCCACACUCUUAUGGUUGACCUCGGAUCAGGUAGGGAUACCCGCUGAACUUAA